UUUUGCCUACGGGGGGCAGCAGUGGGGAAUAUUGCACAAUGGGGGAAACCCUGAUGCAGCGACGCCGCGUGAGUGAGGAAGUAGUUCGGUAUGUAAAUCUCUAUCAGCAGGGAAGAAAAUGACGGUAUCUGACUAAGAAGCCCCGGCUAACUACGUGCCAGCAGCCGCGGUAAUACGUAGGGGGCAAGCGUUAUCCGGAUUUACUGGGUGUAAAGGGAGCGUAGACGGAUAAGCAAGUCUGAUGUGAAAAUCCGGGGCCCAACCCCGGAAUUGCAUUGGAAACUGCAUAUCUAGAGUGUCGGAGA
Molecule: ribosomal RNA, 305 nt
Filed under: uncultured bacterium
Lineage: Bacteria
Description: bacterial SSU rRNA
Rfam family: Bacterial small subunit ribosomal RNA
Source: RNAcentral